GACGAACGCUGGCGGCGUGCUUAACACAUGCAAGUCGUACGGUAAGGCCCUUUCGGGGGUCCACGAGUGGCGAACGGGUGAGUAACACGUGAGUAACCUGCCCACAACUUUGGGAUAACGCUAGGAAACUGGUGCUAAUACUGGAUAUGUGCUCCUGCUGCAUGGUGGGGGUUGGAAAGCUCCGGCGGUUGUGGAUGGACUCGCGGCCUAUCAGCUUGUUGGUGGGGUAGUGGCCUACCAAGGCGGCGACGGGUAGCCGGCCUGAGAGGGUGACCGGCCACAUUGGGACUGAGAUACGGCCCAGACUCCUACGGGGGGCAGCAGGGGGGAAUAUUGCACAAUGGGCGCAAGCCUGAUGCAGCAACGCCGCGGGCGGGAUGACGGCCUUCGGGUUGUAAACCGCUUUCAGCAGGGACGAAGCUUUUUGUGACGGUACCUGCAGAAGAAGCACCGGCUAACUACGUG
RNAcentral lists this ribosomal RNA (465 nucleotides) under uncultured bacterium. Its description in RNAcentral is "partial 16S ribosomal RNA". It matches the Rfam family "Bacterial small subunit ribosomal RNA", at positions 28 to 507 of the family's 1533-position model. The record is from RNAcentral.